This 477-nucleotide ribosomal RNA is filed under the name uncultured organism. RNAcentral's name for it is "partial 16S ribosomal RNA". It matches the Rfam family "Bacterial small subunit ribosomal RNA", at positions 329 to 797 of the family's 1533-position model. The record is from RNAcentral.
ACGUACACUCCUGCGGGAGGCAGCAGUGGGGAAUUUUGGACAAUGGGCGAAAGCCUGAUCCAGCCAUGCCGCGUGCAGGAUGAAGGCCUUCGGGUUGUAAACUGCUUUUGUACGGAACGAAACGGCCUUUUCUAAUAAAGAGGGCUAAUGACGGUACCGUAAGAAUAAGCACCGGCUAACUACGUGCCAGCAGCCGCGGUAAUACGUAGGGUGCAAGCGUUACUCGGAAUUACUGGGCGGAAAGCGUGCGCAGGCGGUUAUGUAAGACAGUUGUGAAAUCCCCGGGCUCAACCUGGGAACUGCAUCUGUGACUGCAUAGCUAGAGUACGAUAGAGGGGGAUGGAAUUCCGCGUGUAGCAGUGAAAUGCGUAGAUAUGCGGAGGAACACCGAUGGCGAAGGCAAUCCCCUGGACCUGUACUGACGCUCAUGCACGAAAGCGUGGGGAGCAAACAGGAUUAGAAGCCCCAGUAGUCCCA